RNAcentral lists this ribosomal RNA (253 nucleotides) under uncultured bacterium. RNAcentral's name for it is "partial 16S ribosomal RNA". It matches the Rfam family "Bacterial small subunit ribosomal RNA", at positions 524 to 776 of the family's 1533-position model. The record is from RNAcentral.
UACGUAGGGGGCAAGCGUUGUCCGGAAUCAUUGGGCGUAAAGCGUGCGCAGACGGUUGCGUAAGUCAGAUGUGAAAGCCCCGGGCUCAACCUGGGAAUUGCAUUUGAGACUGCGUAGCUAGGGUGCGGAAGAGGGAAGCGGAAUUUCCGGUGUAGCGGUGAAAUGCGUAGAUAUCGGAAGGAGCACCAGUGGCGAAAGCGGCUUCCUGGUCCAGAACCGACGUUCAGGCACGAAAGCGUGGGGAGCAAACAGG